AGAACGAACGCUGGCGGCAUGCCUAAUACAUGCAAGUCGAACGAAGGCUUCGGCCUUAGUGGCGCACGGGUGCGUAACGCGUGGGAAUCUGCCCCUUGGUUCGGAAUAACAGUUGGAAACGACUGCUAAUACCGGAUGAUGACGAAAGUCCAAAGAUUUAUCGCCAAGGGAUGAGCCCGCGUAGGAUUAGCUAGUUGGUGAGGUAAAGGCUCACCAAGGCGACGAUCCUUAGCUGGUCUGAGAGGAUGAUCAGCCACACUGGGACUGAGACACGGCCCAGACUCCUACGGGAGGCAGCAGUAGGGAAUAUUGGACAAUGGGCGAAAGCCUGAUCCAGCCAUGCCGCGUGUGUGAAGAAGGUCUUCGGA
This 368-nucleotide ribosomal RNA is filed under the name uncultured soil bacterium. RNAcentral describes it as "bacterial SSU rRNA". It matches the Rfam family "Bacterial small subunit ribosomal RNA", at positions 26 to 422 of the family's 1533-position model. The record is from RNAcentral.